Molecule: ribosomal RNA, 788 nt
Filed under: uncultured archaeon
Lineage: Archaea
Description: bacterial SSU rRNA
Rfam family: Archaeal small subunit ribosomal RNA
Source: RNAcentral
ACUGCUCAGUAACACGUAGCUAACCUACCCUUUGGUCAAGGAUACCCUCGGGAAACUGAGGUUAAUACUUGAUAAGAGACAUACCCUGGAAAGAUUUGUCUCUCAAACUCGCGCCAAAGGAUGGGGCUGCGGCGGAUUAGGUUGUUGGCGGGGUAAUAGCCCACCAAGCCGAAGAUCCGUAAGGGCUCUUAGCGGAGAAGCCCUGAGAGGGAAUCUGAGACACUAUUCCCAGCCCUACGGGGUGCAGCAGUUAGGAAUAAUCUACAAUGCGCGUAAGCGUGAUAGUUUGAGCCAGAGUGUGUUUCAAUUGAAAUGCUUUUGUGAAAUGUAAAAAGUUUCACGAAUAAGGACUGGGUAAGACUAGUGCCAGCCGCCGCGGUAAUACUAGCGGUCCAAGUCGCAGCCAUUUUUAUUGGGUCUAAAACAUCCGUAGCUUGCUUAAUAAGUUCCUUGUGAAAUCUCGUGUCUCAAGCACUGGGCGUGCAAGGAGUACUAUUAAGCUAGAGACUGGAAGACGUAAGAAGUACGUUCGAAGUAGCGGUAAAAUGUGUUAAUCUCGGACGGACUAACAAUAGCGAAGGCAUCUUACGAGGACAGUUCUGACAGUAAGGGAUGAAGGCUAGGGGCGCAAAACGGAUUAGAUACCCGUGUAGUCCUAGCAGUAAACACUGCACACUAAACAUUAGUACCUCUUCGAGAGGUAUUAGUGCUGUAGGGAAGCCGGAGAGUGUGCUACCUGGGAAGUAUAGUCGCAAGGCCGAAACUUAAAGGAAUUGGCGGGGGAGCAC